This 73-nucleotide ribosomal RNA is filed under the name Puccinia recondita. RNAcentral describes it as "partial 28S ribosomal RNA". Lineage: Eukaryota; Fungi; Basidiomycota; Pucciniomycetes; Pucciniales; Pucciniaceae. The record is from RNAcentral.
CUAAAGAACCAUACAUUUUUUUUUACUUAAGACCUCAAAUCAGGUGGGACUACCCGCUGAACUUAAGCAUAUC